AUUGAACGCUGGCGGCAUGCUUUACACAUGCAAGUCGAACGGUAACAGGUUAAGCUGACGAGUGGCGAACGGGUGAGUAAUGCAUCGGAACGUGCCCGAUCGUGGGGGAUAACGCAGCGAAAGCUGCGCUAAUACCGCAUACGAUCUGAGGAUGAAAGCGGGGGACCGUAAGGCCUCGCGCGAUUGGAGCGGCCGAUAUCAGAUUAGGUAGUUGGUGAGGUAAAGGCUCACCAAGCCAACGAUCUGUAGCUGGUCUGAGAGGACGACCAGCCACACUGGAACUGAGACACGGUCCAGACUCCUACGGGAGGCAGCAGUGGGGAAUUUUGGACAAUGGACGCAAGUCUGAUGCAGCAACGCCGCGUGAGGGACGACGGCCUUCGGUUGUAACCGUCUUUAGUAGGAGAAGCGAAAGUGACGGUACC
Molecule: ribosomal RNA, 425 nt
Filed under: uncultured bacterium
Lineage: Bacteria
Description: bacterial SSU rRNA
Rfam family: Bacterial small subunit ribosomal RNA
Source: RNAcentral